This is a long non-coding RNA of Miniopterus natalensis, 627 nucleotides long. RefSeq lists it as uncharacterized. The record is from RefSeq and is a predicted model, not a curated record. Lineage: Eukaryota; Metazoa; Chordata; Mammalia; Chiroptera; Miniopteridae.
GAGAUACAUUUUAAGUCAAAGAACGUGAAAAAAGGACUUUCCCACAAUAGCUCAGUGUAAGUGGGAAAAUGAGCAUAUGCUAAAGUUUUGGGCUAUCGCCGUGAGCGAGGAGUAAGUUUCUAAAUGCGAUCGAUUCCUUUAUUCGGGGUUCUCUCUGUAACCGCAGCGGUGAUCACUGAUUCACGGAGAAUUUUAAUUCCACUUCGUUACACCAGAGCGACGCUUGGGUCGGAGCGCCGGCCACCGAGCCGGGUAAACCUCCGUCAGGUCCCGGACGCGGGAUCAGACUUCGUUCCGCCGACACGCUCCCGGGGGAGGAGUCAGAGCUGGAAACGGACGUAUUCCGCGGGCAGUCCUGUGUCAACGCCCGGCCACACAUCUGGGCAGACACCGGGCCUCUGAUUGCCCCUCCCCCGGGACUCCCACGUCCGGCUUCCUGACCUCUGACUGAUAACUACCCUGGGCCAGUCCCAGGGCUAAGAAUGCAGGACUGAGAAUCCUCAAGAAUGUACUUUUCACUGUAAGAACUUUUCUUUCGUCUUUGGAACACUUCUGUGUUUUUGCCUAGCUCUGUUCCCAGUGUGUAUAUUCGAAGACCCUUGAAUAAAUCUUUAUCAUUUAUUUCCA